UUAAGUCAACUAUGUACAUAAACUCGAAACAAAACAUCUACCUGCAGUAGGGGCACCUCUAGCUCAGCACGUCGGGUAGGGCUCUAACUCGCGACGCCCUUGCCUCGAUCCUGGUCCGCGGACGGUGCAGCAGCCGAAACCUGUGGCUCUGCAAAAACAUAGGUAACAACUGGGCGUGAGAACUACUGUAAAAACAAGUAGUCCUCAGUGGGUACCGCCCAAAACAACAUCGGUCCACCCACCAAGUCUACAGAAGGGAGCAAGAGUAGUCAGAAAAGCAGGAAAUAAACUCUACCGCUAUCGAUCACUACACUAUCAUGCUCUACACUAACCAACUGUAGGAAAUGUCAAAUCUGACCCAAUCCAAUCGGGACUGUAAGCAUACCCGUCCCCGGGACUGUGAAUACACCCGUCCCUGCCCCGUUGCGACUAUCAGGCUCUAUCCACACUAACUGGUCCGUGGAGAGCAAGUCCAACUGGCAUGAGCGACACCAACGCGAAAGCACAAAGCCUGACUCCGGAGUGGCACUCGUGGGCGCUACCCAACCGAGUAUGCAGCGUAUCUCUGUCGAGCUCAAACAGGCUCUGAAAAGCCAAAGUCAAGAAAUCGACUCUAACUGGUCUAACAACCAACAAGUAACGUGCCCUCGGCACAAUCAGACGCCAAAAAGGCGAUACGGGUCCACCGUCAACCUCAACGGCACCCUACAGUCCGGAACAGCCUGAACGACCCUGUAAAAUCCCCUCGGCGAACCAGCACGAGUGUAGAUAUAUUCUAAACUACCUGGAGUACUCGUCUCGAAGAUACUGCGACAGUACAAUUUAAUAACGGCUCCUAGAGCUAAAUCAGGCAGUUUAAUCAAGUGACAGGUCCAAAUCGCAGGUUUUCUCCUAAUUCAGUUUCCAAGUCCAACAUAUAUAAUCUACUUAAUUUAUUACCACAUGCUCCAAAUUCAGAUUUGCAUUCUAUCAUAUAAUCCAUGAAUUCGAGCUAGAAUAAAUUAUCAAAAUCGAGAUCUAUACAUGUUGACGAUUA
Molecule: long non-coding RNA, 1036 nt
Filed under: Ananas comosus (pineapple)
Lineage: Eukaryota; Viridiplantae; Streptophyta; Magnoliopsida; Poales; Bromeliaceae
Description: long non-coding RNA (ACOM_LNC030561)
Source: RNAcentral